This 468-nucleotide ribosomal RNA is filed under the name uncultured bacterium. RNAcentral's name for it is "partial 16S ribosomal RNA". It matches the Rfam family "Bacterial small subunit ribosomal RNA", at positions 28 to 507 of the family's 1533-position model. The record is from RNAcentral.
GACGAACGCUGGCGGCGUGCUUAACACAUGCAAGUCGAACGGAAAGGCCCAGCUUUUGUGGGGUGCUCGAGUGGCGAACGGGUGAGUAACACGUGAGUAACCUGCCCUUGACUUUGGGAUAACUUCAGGAAACUGGGGCUAAUACCGGAUAGGAGCUCCUGCUGCAUGGUGGGGGUUGGAAAGUUUCGGCGGUUGGGGAUGGACUCGCGGCUUAUCAGCUUGUUGGUGGGGUAGUGGCUUACCAAGGCUUUGACGGGUAGCCGGCCUGAGAGGGUGGCCGGCCACAUUGGGACUGAGAUACGGCCCAGACUCCUACGGGAGGCAGCAGUGGGGAAUAUUGCACAAUGGGCGGAAGCCUGAUGCAGCAACGCCGCGUGCGGGAUGACGGCCUUCGGGUUGUAAACCGCUUUCGCCUGUGACGAAGCGUGAGUGACGGUAAUGGGUAAAGAAGCACCGGCUAACUACGUG